AGACUAUUUGGCAUGAAUUCAAUAAAGAGGUGAUUUAGAUAACUCGAUCCUAAUCCUCUUACAUUCCUAGCAAUGAAACACUCGGGUUCAAAGCUUCAACACGAAUGCUUCCAACAUGAAACAAAGUUUAAGUAUAUGUCAACAAUACUAUACAAAUAAACGAACAGCUUCACAGUAUAUUCGUUCAAUCAUACAUUCCAACACAUUCAUACAUAAGCCAACUGUGCUUUGAAAAGGUUCAACAUAUUUGGUGUCAUUCGACACUUGCUACAAUGUGCCUAGACACCUUGCCCUUAUUCUCACCAACCAGGUGAUGAAAUGUGAAGAAGAAACUCAUCUUCAUGCCACCAACCAGGUGAUGAAAUGUACAACCCGUACUCUAAUCUCAUUUGGCAACUUGCCAUUCAUGCCACCAACCAGGUGAUGAAAUUACAACCCGUACUCUCCUUCAUGCCACCAACCAGGUGAUGAAAUGUAUAACCCGUACUCUAAUAUCAUUUGGUAACUUGCCACUCAUGCCACCAACCAGGUGAAGAAGGAACUCAUCUUUAUGCCACCAACCAGGUGAUGAAAUGUACAACCUAUACUCCCCUUCAUGCCACCAACCAGGUGAUGAAAUGUACAACUCGUACUCUAAUAUCAUUUGGCAACUUGCCAUUCAUGCCACCAACCAGGGGAAGAAGGAACUCAUCAUCGUGCCACCAACCAGAUGAUGAAAUGUGAUGAAAGGUUAUGAAGUAACUCACAUUCGUACCACCAACCAAGUGAUGAAAGCAACUCACCAUUCAUUCCACUUACCAGAAGACGAGUGGUACAACUUGUACAUGUGAACUCCUAGCAAUCACAAAUAAUAAAAAACCCUUAAGCUUGACAGCUCAACUAGGAGAGCACUUAUGCCCAACAAGAUUUAUAGUCACCAACAAAGUCUUAUUGCAAGCCAACAACAACUUCAGUGCAUGGCAUACGAAGAUCAAGUUAUUCAGCCCUUUUGUCAACAACUUCAGUUCAACCACAAUUCUCAAAAGUUUCACACACUAUUGAUCAAGACAGUGUGAAGCAAAACCAAUUUAUGGUGCCAACAAGAGCUUCAUCAAUGGAGGGCAACCACAAUUCUCAAAAGCUUCACACACUCUUGAUCAAGACAGUGUAAAGCAAAACCAAUUUAUGGUGCCAAUAAGAUAUUCAUCAACAGAGGGCAACCACAAUUCUCAAAAGCUUCACACACUCUUGAUCAAGACAGUGUGAAGCAAAACCAAUUUAUGGUGCCAACAAGAACUUCAUCAAUGGAUGGCAACCACAAUUCUCAAAAGCUUCACACACUUUUGAUCAAGACAAUGUGAAGCAAAACCAAUUUAUGGUGCCAACAAGAGCUUCAUCAACAGAGGGCAACCACAAUUCUCAAAAGCUUCACACACUGUUGAUCAAGACAAUGUGAAGCAAAACCAAUUUAUGGUGCCAACAAGAACUUCAUCAAUGGAGGGCAACCAUAAUUCUCAAAAACUUCACACACUCUUGACAGUGUGAAGCAAAACCAAUUUAUGGUGCCAACAAGAGCUUCAUCAAAGGAGUUCAACCAUAAUUCUUAAAAGCUUCACACACUCUUGAUCAAGACAGUGUGAAGCAAAACCAAUUUAUGGUGCCAAUAAGAGCUUCAUCAAUGAAAGGCAACCAUAAUUCUCAAAAGCUUCAGUGCAGGGUUGAUCAAGACAGUGUGAAGCAAAACCAAUUUAUGGUGCCAACAAAAGCUUCAUCAAAGAAGUUCAACCACAAUUCUCAAAAGCUUCACACACUCUUGAUCAAGACAGUGUGAAGCAAAACCAAUUUAUGGUGCCAACAAAAGCUUCAUCAAUGGAGGGCAACUACAAUUCUCAGACUUUCGAAGCAAAUUCAAUUUAUAUGGUUCAUCUAAACCUUUGAUUACUACAGGGUGUGGCUUGCAUCACAAUCUCUUGCCCAACAGUGUGGAAGCAAAAUUUGUAUAUGUUGACUCUCCCACAUUUUCAAAUUUCUAGUUUUCCAAAAAAAAAAAAAAAAAAAGGAAAUUCAACAAAGCUUCAUCUAUGGAGGACAACUACAAAUUAAAGCUUUAUCAAUGGAGGACAACUACAAAUUCUCAAAAGCUUCACACUAUCUUGAUCAAGAUAG
This 2145-nucleotide long non-coding RNA is filed under the name Malus domestica (apple). RNAcentral's name for it is "long non-coding RNA (MDOM_LNC001658)". The record is from RNAcentral. Lineage: Eukaryota; Viridiplantae; Streptophyta; Magnoliopsida; Rosales; Rosaceae.